Molecule: small nuclear RNA, 103 nt
Filed under: Propithecus coquereli (Coquerel's sifaka)
Lineage: Eukaryota; Metazoa; Chordata; Mammalia; Primates; Indriidae
Source: RNAcentral
GUGCUUACUUAGGCAGCACAUAAUGCCAAAAUUGGAAUGAUACAGAGAAAAUUAGCAUGGUCCCUGUGCAUGGAUGACAUGUAAAUUUGUGUUCCAUAUUUUA